GACGAACGCUGGCGGCGUGCUUAACACAUGCAAGUCGAACGGACAGGCCCUGCUUUUGUUGGGUGCUCGAGUGGCGAACGGGUGAGUAACACGUGAGUAACCUGCCCUUGACUUUGGGAUAACUUCAGGAAACUGGGGCUAAUACCGGAUAGAAGCUCCUGCUGCAUGGUGGGGGUUGGAAAGUUUCGGCGGUUCGGGAUGGAAUCGCGGCUUAUCAGCUUGUUGGUGGGGUAGUGGCUUACCAAGGCUUUGACGGGUAGCCGGCCUGAGAGGGUGACCGGCCACAUUGGUACUGAGAUACGGCGCAGACGCCUACGGGAGGCAGCAGUGGGGAAUAUUGCACAAUGGGCGGAAGCCUGAUGCAGCAACGCCGCGUGCGGGAUGACGGCCUUCGGGUUGUAAACCGCUUUCGCCUGUGACGAAGCGUGAGUGACGGUAAUGGGUAAAGAAGCACCGGCUAACUACGUG
This 468-nucleotide ribosomal RNA is filed under the name uncultured bacterium. RNAcentral describes it as "partial 16S ribosomal RNA". It matches the Rfam family "Bacterial small subunit ribosomal RNA", at positions 28 to 507 of the family's 1533-position model. The record is from RNAcentral.